RNAcentral lists this ribosomal RNA (253 nucleotides) under uncultured bacterium. Its description in RNAcentral is "partial 16S ribosomal RNA". It matches the Rfam family "Bacterial small subunit ribosomal RNA", at positions 524 to 776 of the family's 1533-position model. The record is from RNAcentral.
UACGUAGGGUGCAAGCGUUGUCCGGAAUUAUUGGGCGUAAAGGGCUCGUAGGCGGUCCAUCGCGUCGGGAGUGAAAAGCUGGGGCUUAACCCCAGCCCUGCUUCCGAUACGGGUGGACUAGAGGUAGGUAGGGGAGAACGGAAUUCCUGGUGUAGCGGUGAAAUGCGCAGAUAUCAGGAGGAACACCGGUGGCGAAGGCGGUUCUCUGGGCCUUACCUGACGCUGAGGAGCGAAAGCAUGGGGAGCAAACAGG